Molecule: ribosomal RNA, 433 nt
Filed under: uncultured bacterium
Lineage: Bacteria
Description: partial 16S ribosomal RNA
Rfam family: Bacterial small subunit ribosomal RNA
Source: RNAcentral
AGCGAACGCUGGCGGCAGGCCUAACACAUGCAAGUCGAACGGAUCCUUCGGGAUUAGUGGCGGACGGGUGAGUAACACGUGGGAACGUGCCCUUUGGUUCGGAACAACUCAGGAAAACUUGAGCUAAUACCGGAUGUGCCCUUCGGGGGAAAGAUUUAUCGCCAUUGGAGCGGCCCGCGUCUGAUUAGCUAGUUGGUGAGGUAACGGCCCACCAAGGCGACGAUCAGUAGCUGGUCUGAGAGGAUGAUCAGCCACACUGGGACUGAGACACGGCCCAGACUCCUACGGGAGGCAGCAGUGGGGAAUCUUGCGCAAUGGGCGAAAGCCUGACGCAGCCAUGCCGCGUGAAUGAUGAAGGUCUUAGGAUUGUAAAAUUCUUUCAGCGGGGACGAUAAUGACGGUACCCGCAGAAGAAGCUCCGGCUAACUUCGUG